CUCCACAGGCUGUCUUGAACAGGGAGUACUCGCAGCGUCCUAGCAGGCAGCCUGCCAAAUGCAGCCCUG
RNAcentral lists this microRNA precursor (69 nucleotides) under Pelodiscus sinensis (Chinese soft-shelled turtle). RNAcentral's name for it is "miRNA (ENSPSIG00000019905.1)". Lineage: Eukaryota; Metazoa; Chordata; Testudines; Trionychidae. The record is from RNAcentral.